RNAcentral lists this ribosomal RNA (563 nucleotides) under Trichoderma virens. RNAcentral describes it as "eukaryotic LSU rRNA". The stretch from base 165 to 318 matches the Rfam family "5.8S ribosomal RNA". The record is from RNAcentral. Lineage: Eukaryota; Fungi; Ascomycota; Sordariomycetes; Hypocreales; Hypocreaceae.
CCAAACUGUUGCCUCGGCGGGAUCUCUGCCCCGGGUGCGUCGCAGCCCCGGACCAAGGCGCCCGCCGGAGGACCAACCAAAACUCUUAUUGUAUACCCCCUCGCGGGUUUUUUACUAUCUGAGCCAUCUCGGCGCCCCUCGUGGGCGUUUCGAAAAUGAAUCAAAACUUUCAACAACGGAUCUCUUGGUUCUGGCAUCGAUGAAGAACGCAGCGAAAUGCGAUAAGUAAUGUGAAUUGCAGAAUUCAGUGAAUCAUCGAAUCUUUGAACGCACAUUGCGCCCGCCAGUAUUCUGGCGGGCAUGCCUGUCCGAGCGUCAUUUCAACCCUCGAACCCCUCCGGGGGGUCGGCGUUGGGGAUCGGCCCUUUACGGGGCCGGCCCCGAAAUACAGUGGCGGUCUCACCGCAGCCUCUCCUGCGCAGUAGUUUGCACACUCGCAUCAGGAGCGCGGCGCGUCCAAUGCUUCUAAAACACCCAUCUUUCUGAAAUGUUGACCUCGCAUCAGGUAGGAAAACCCGCCGAACUUACCCAUAUCAAUAAGCGGAAGAUUCAGCUGAAGCGCC